AUUUUUGGUGAACCCCCAUGUAGUGCCCAAAGUGUCAGGUUCUGUGGUGGGAUCAAUCACAUGGUCGGACCACGCUGAGAUCACACUGACCUUAGAUAAAUUGUGCACAUCAUCCCCGUGGUCGUGGAAGUUGAAUACUUCCUUACUUCAGGAUCCGGCCGUGGUUGAGACGGUUCGGGGGGAAUUGACAGAGUACUUUUCAAGAAAU
Molecule: non-coding RNA, 208 nt
Organism: Pelobates cultripes (western spadefoot toad)
Lineage: Eukaryota; Metazoa; Chordata; Amphibia; Anura; Pelobatidae
Source: the annotation of a GenBank genome assembly